Molecule: ribosomal RNA, 305 nt
Filed under: uncultured bacterium
Lineage: Bacteria
Description: bacterial SSU rRNA
Rfam family: Bacterial small subunit ribosomal RNA
Source: RNAcentral
GCCUACGGGGGGCAGCAGUGGGGAAUAUUGCACAAUGGGGGAAACCCUGAUGCAGCAACGCCGCGUGAGUGAAGAAGGUUUUCGGAUUGUAAAGCUCUGUUAGCAGGGAAGAGGAAGGACGGUACCUGCAGAGGAAGCCACGGCUAACUACGUGCCAGCAGCCGCGGUAAUACGUAGGUGGCAAGCGUUAUCCGGAAUGACUGGGCGUAAAGGGUGCGUAGGUGGUUUAGUAAGUUGGCGGUGUAAUUCCGGGGCUCAACCUCGGCGCUACCGCCAAAACUAUUAGACUAGAGUGCAGGAGGGGG